GACGAACGCUGGCGGCGUGCCUAAUACAUGCAAGUAGAACGCACAGUUUAUACCGUAGCUUGCUACACCAUAGACUGUGAGUUGCGAACGGGUGAGUAACGCGUAGGUAACCUGCCUGGUAGCGGGGGAUAACUAUUGGAAACGAUAGCUAAUACCGCAUAAUAUUGAUUAUUGCAUGAUAAUUGAUUGAAAGAUGCUAUUGCAUCACUACCAGAUGGACCUGCGUUGUAUUAGCUAGUAGGUGAGGUAACGGCUCACCUAGGCGACGAUACAUAGCCGACCUGAGAGGGUGAUCGGCCACACUGGGACGGAGACACGGCCCAGACUCCUACGGGAGGCAGCAGGAGGGAAUCUUCGGCAAUGGACGAAAGUCUGACCGAGCAACGCCGCGUGAGUGAAGAAGGGUGUCGGAUCGUAAAGCUCUGUUGUAAGAGAAGAACGGGUGUGAGAGUGGAAAGUUCACACUGUGACGGUAUCUGACCAGAAAGGGACGGCUAACUACGUG
RNAcentral lists this ribosomal RNA (505 nucleotides) under uncultured bacterium. RNAcentral describes it as "partial 16S ribosomal RNA". It matches the Rfam family "Bacterial small subunit ribosomal RNA", at positions 28 to 507 of the family's 1533-position model. The record is from RNAcentral.